RNAcentral lists this ribosomal RNA (481 nucleotides) under uncultured bacterium. RNAcentral's name for it is "partial 16S ribosomal RNA". It matches the Rfam family "Bacterial small subunit ribosomal RNA", at positions 28 to 507 of the family's 1533-position model. The record is from RNAcentral.
GAUGAACGCUGGCGGCGUGCUUAACACAUGCAAGUCGAACGAAGCACUUUAUUUGAUUUCCUUCGGGACUGAUUAUUUUGUGACUGAGUGGCGGACGGGUGAGUAACGCGUGGGUAACCUGCCUUGUACAGGGGGAUAACAGUUGGAAACGGCUGCUAAUACCGCAUAAGCGCACAGCAUCGCAUGAUUCAGUGUGAAACACUCCGGUGGUGUAAGAUGGACCCGCGUUGGAUUAGCUAGUUGGUGAGGUAACGGCCCACCAAGGCGACGAUCCAUAGCCGAGCAGAGAGGGUGACCGGCAACAUUGGGACGGAGACACGGCCCAAACUCCUACGGGAGGCAGCAGUGGGGAAUAUUGCACAAUGGGCGAAAGCAUGAUGCAGCGACGACGCGUGAGCGAAGAAGUAUUGCGGUAUGUAAAGCUAUAUCAGCAGGGAAGAUAAUGACGGUACCUGACUAAGAAGCACCGGCUAAAUACGUG